UACCCGAGUCAGCCCGAUCACCAGAUCCGCGCGCGCCCGAUCGUUGCUCCCGGUUUUGCCCGUCCGACUCGCCCCGGUCUGCGUCGACAUCCCCCCACCUCCUCCACCCCCAUCCCCACGCCCAGCCCAUGCCCGCGCCGCAUUACCCUGCCAAAAACCGCCCAGCUCCCGUCCCCCUCCGCCGUGGAUCUGCGCCUCCCUCCUCCGCCGACCGGCGCCCCACUCCCAACGCUCGCCGGGGUCGUCGCUCGUUCAUCUCCCCCUCCACGCGCUCUCCCUCUCACGCACUCGCCACCGACAUCGCCCUCUGCAACGCUCCCACACGCUGGUCUCCCCGGGGUCACCCGAACCCGGCCGCGCGGUCACGCCGUGGAGCGCCGCCACCUGGAUCAUCGCGGACAUGCGGACUCGAGCCCCUCGACCUACCUCCGCGCGUCGAGCCCCAGGGUGCGGAGCGAGAGGAGAGGAUAGGGUACAGCACGGCCUGCCGCGGCCUGUGGAUGGUGACAUCGCCGCCCCGCCUCCGUCCAGCUCGGCCUCCGGGGUGAGUAGGUUGUGCUUGGCCCCCUCGCGCCGCUUGCCGUCACCGAAGCCACGCCGCAGCUGCCGCCCUAAUCGUUGGCUAGCAGUCUACCUGUCCAGGAAGAAGCUAGCAGGUAUUAAAUUUCAUUGGCGUCAUUUGAAUAAUUAUAUUGCUGUAAUGAAUGGGAUCAUGUCCUCCAAUAGGUACUAAUUUCAUCGGAUUUUGUCCUGCGUGCAGCCACUUGAUUAGGUUUGGUAAUUAGGGCUAAUUUUGCCGGAAAGGAUCUACCAUUUGCAGUAGUCCGUGAGGGCCUUUUACACUGAAUCCUAUGAAGAGGAGUACUAGAUGGAUUUAGAUAAAUUCUGUAUCUUUCCAUGGAGUGCUCACCGAAGUUUGAAUCUGUCAGAGUGAAUCUGCCCGAUCAACUGAAUUUUCUAAACAAAAUAUGCUAAUUGCUACUAUUUGUGCAGGCUCCUGAGAAUUCACUUCACUGUUUGAGUGCUAGAGGUUAUGAGCCUUGGCUGCUUCUCAAGUAAUCAGGAUAGACAAGCAUACCUUCGUUCUAGUGGCUAUCAAUGGCAAGAUUUCAGAUCUUUGUAAAUGAUCAAUCAGCUGUUGUUGCGGCUCCAAUGAAGUCCAGGCCAACAGCGUGCCUCAAUCAUGCUUGUAUAUUGUGCAGCAGGCCAGCUGCGAGGACUGCUUGCUGGAGUUGCUUGAUAGCAAGAGAUCGCACAUUCUGUAGCGUGGAGGAGUUGCUUGCUUGCCGCCGCAAUGACUAAGAUGAGGUCGCAAGGAAACUUCAAGAGUGGAUACAUGAGCAUGGAUUGCAGCGAGCUCAGUGUGAUAUGUCCGUGAUCUACGAGGAUAAACAUGCACUGUAUCAUUUAGGUGUACACAUUUAGCACCGUAUCAGUAGCUAGCUGAGAGAACGGCUACAAGGGACAAGAUGGGCCUUGAGACUGAUAGAGACAGAGAAUAAAUUGGAUUUAUUCUUCAAUUGUAUUUCUGGGCUCACCUGGUUGCUCAUUUGAUAAAUCUAUUUGCAAAAUACAUAUGAUGCAAUUGGAAAUAUUAUAGCGGCACUGCUUUA
Long non-coding RNA from Panicum virgatum (switchgrass), 1613 nucleotides. RefSeq lists it as uncharacterized. NCBI's taxonomy places the organism in Eukaryota, Viridiplantae, Streptophyta, Magnoliopsida, Poales, Poaceae. The record is from RefSeq and is a predicted model, not a curated record. The transcript is spliced from 3 exons.